Molecule: long non-coding RNA, 1672 nt
Organism: Archocentrus centrarchus (flier cichlid)
Lineage: Eukaryota; Metazoa; Chordata; Actinopteri; Cichliformes; Cichlidae
Exons: 4
Source: RefSeq, a predicted model, not a curated record
CGCUAAGAACGAGCGUGUCGGAAUAGGACAGGAGCGAGUUUUAAGGCUAAGUACACAGAAGCGGGGAUUCUUGUGUUUCUUAUGGGACUGUCUGCUCGACAGUCUGUCGUUAGAGCACAAGUUCUUCCUGUUGCGAGGACGAGAGGGAUUGCCAAUUCUUCUGUCACAGACUGUGUAUGACCGUGGCACGAAUGCUAAUGUUAGCCCGAGCGUUAGCGCGUGUGCUACGGCUAAGCUAACGAGCUUGAUAGCAGUGAGUCAGCACACCACAAGUGUACAGACUUUUUGCAUAUAGUUGGACUAACCCAGUUGAACUGUGCGAGAGGGGAAAGACUAUUUUCAGCACGGGAACGGAGUAAAUACCCUGCUCGAGGAUUGACAGAGCCUCAUCUGUACCUGUUCUGGAAGCGAGGUGAGCGGGGAGGCAGUGGACUCUGCUGUGCCGGUGAGGUGAGAGGGAUCUGCUUCAGAGCGCUUACCUGCCUGUUGGAUUACAACCCAGCAACCAAAAUACUAAGAGAGUAUUCAAGCCAUUUCAGCAUUGAGGACACUCUCUUAUUUUGCAUGAGAGUCAUGGUUGGAGUCAUCUUUCUGUAUGACCAUGUUCACCCCAACAGCACCUUCAACAAGUCCUCCAAAUGAAAGGCUGCAUAAAAGUGCUGAAGGACCAGCCUCCUGUAGAAGGCCUCCUGAAUGCACUCAAAUUCACCACAAAACACCUGAAUGGCGAGAAUACUCCCAAGAACAUCUGAGCGCUGCUCCAGUAAUAUUUGUUCCUUCUUAUAUGAAUUUAUACAUAAAUAGAUAUGAAGAGGAUCACAGCUCUGACCUCAGAUCAGAUGUCUAUGUUUACAUUAUUUAAACAGAGACCUUGAGCUGCUCAGGUAUUACUUGUCUUUUGACAUUGCUCCCGUUUUUCAAACAGUGACACUUUAAGUUUUAUGACCUGUUCAGACGGUUUCUGAAAUUUGUAUUGGAGGCUUUUAGAGUGGUGACCUCAUCACUCACUGAAGAAUUUCAGCUCUUUUAGUUUUUUAAUUAGUUUCCCUUUCAGCUCUUUUUACUCCCACAAAUGUUGUUGUACCCGCACAGUUUAUACUUCAAAUUGUAGCUAUGGUUGUGCUCUUUAAGAAAAUGUCCUUUUCAAAGAUCUGACAUUUAAAGAAUUUACACUAGGAGCCUCAGAGUGUCAGGUGUACCCUCGCCCCAUCGCCCAGACGCCAAUGUUAACUUUUCUCCUCGCUUUUUUUUAAACUGUCAUUUCUCAGUCACUUUUAGUGAUAUAGAGAUUAACAAAAACAAAAAUGUCUUCCUUCAGUAAGCUCUCCUUGUGCUCACAGUGUAAAAGGUUUGUGACUGGAACGUACAGUUUCUGAGUGACAGCCGUUUGUUUGGGGGUCAGUCAGCAGGGGUUUCUUCUCCCCAGCCUAGUUUUGGGAGUGAAAAGGACUGAGCACAUCCACUAAUAAGAAGCCAGUUGCUCUCAGGACCACAGUACUGGUGGUUUAGCUCUACCAGUUAAGAGUUAGGCUGGAGAUAUGAAGGUCAUGAAGGUCAACUUUGAUGACCAUUUUCCUCAAAUGUCUGUUUUUGAAGUUUUGGGAUAGAAACACAUUUACCAUAUUUUGCUGUAAAACAUGAAUUCUUAUACAGUAUAAAUGAACACAUACAC